UACGUAGGUGACAAGCGUUGUCCGGAUUUACUGGGCGUAAAGAGCUCGCAGGCGGUCGAUCAAGUCGGGUGUGAAAGCCCCCGGCUCAACUGGGGAGGGUCAUUCGAUACUGAUCGACUCGAAGGCAGGAGAGGGUAGUGGAAUUCCCGGUGUAGUGGUGAAAUGCGUAGAUAUCGGGAGGAACACCAGUGGCGAAGGCGACUACCUGGCCUGUUCUUGACGCUGAGGCGCGAAAGCGAGGGGAGCAAACGGG
RNAcentral lists this ribosomal RNA (253 nucleotides) under uncultured bacterium. RNAcentral's name for it is "partial 16S ribosomal RNA". It matches the Rfam family "Bacterial small subunit ribosomal RNA", at positions 524 to 776 of the family's 1533-position model. The record is from RNAcentral.